UUACAACAGCUGUACCUACUCUUAGAAGAACUCAAAGUACCCCUAGACUUAAAGGCUGGGAGAUAUAUCCUAAAACGUUACAAAAAAAUAACCCCGUUAUUUUGCAACGAGCUACUACGAGCAAGGAUGAAGCAUAAUAAGUUAAACCGAGUUUAAAAACUAAAUUUAAAACGUCCUGACGGGAUCUCUCAAAUCCCAUGGAGGAGAGGUCAACUUUUGGUAUGGGACUAUUCCUGUAUUGACCCCUUGGCUUCAUCCAACCACGCCAUCAACAUCCUUGACCAUAAGGAACAACUUAAAACUUCUAAAUACACAGAAAUAAUUAACGACCAUUGCUUCAUCCCAAUCAUAUCAACCACUCUUGGCACCUUCGGCAAACUCGCCUUAGCAUUUUUCAAAAACUUAGGAUCACAAAUCAGCAAACUCUCAGAAGAACCUCGAGAGGGUUUUUUUCUUCGUCAACGAUUAUCCAUAGCGAUUCUCAAAGCUAAUUAUAUCAGUUUCAAUGGUAGUCUUCUAGCCAAAGAGCUAUCCUAGA
This is a long non-coding RNA of Gordionus sp. m RMFG-2023, 538 nucleotides long. RefSeq lists it as uncharacterized. The record is from RefSeq and is a predicted model, not a curated record. The transcript has 3 exons. NCBI's taxonomy places the organism in Eukaryota, Metazoa, Nematomorpha, Gordioida, Chordodea, Parachordodidae.